CCUUAAAUAGCUCAGGCAGUAGAGCAUGAGACUCUUAAUCUCAGGUUUGUGGGUUCAAGUCCCACAUUGGGCA
This 73-nucleotide transfer RNA is filed under the name Podarcis lilfordi (Lilford's wall lizard). It matches the Rfam family "tRNA". Rfam says of the family: Transfer RNA (tRNA) molecules are approximately 80 nucleotides in length. Their secondary structure includes four short double-helical elements and three loops (D, anti-codon, and T loops). Lineage: Eukaryota; Metazoa; Chordata; Lepidosauria; Squamata; Lacertidae. The record is from Rfam by way of RNAcentral.